RNAcentral lists this ribosomal RNA (439 nucleotides) under uncultured bacterium. Its description in RNAcentral is "partial 16S ribosomal RNA". It matches the Rfam family "Bacterial small subunit ribosomal RNA", at positions 339 to 795 of the family's 1533-position model. The record is from RNAcentral.
CUACGGGGUGCUGCAGUGAGGAAUAUUGCACAAUGGGGGGAACCCUGAUGCAGCAACGCCGCGUGGAGGAUGACGCAUUUCGGUGUGUAAACUCCUUUUAUAUGUCAAGAAAAUGACGGUAGCAUAUGAAUAAGCACCGGCUAACUCCGUGCCAGCAGCCGCGGUAAUACGGAGGGUGCAAGCGUUACUCGGAAUCACUGGGCGUAAAGGACGCGUAGGCGGGCUUGUAAGUCAGGUGUGAAAUCCUACAGCUUAACUGUAGAACUGCACUUGAAACUACGAGCCUAGAGUAUGGGAGGGGCAGAUGGAAUUAGUGGUGUAGGGGUAAAAUCCGUAGAUAUCACUAGGAAUACCUAAAGCGAAGGCGAUCUGCUGGAACAUAACUGACGCUAAGGCGUGAAAGCGUGGGGAGCAAACAGGAUUAGAUACCCCUGUAGUC